This 492-nucleotide ribosomal RNA is filed under the name uncultured bacterium. RNAcentral's name for it is "partial 16S ribosomal RNA". It matches the Rfam family "Bacterial small subunit ribosomal RNA", at positions 39 to 507 of the family's 1533-position model. The record is from RNAcentral.
GGGGGGGGGGGGGGGGGGGCGUGGCGGGGGCGGGUCGGACGGCAGGGCAGUAAGAGCGUGCGGUUGCGGGUGGCGAGUGGGGGGCGUGUGCGGAAUACAGCGGAAUCUAGUUUUUCGUGGGGGGUCACGGAGGGAGACUUACGCGCCUACAGCAUAAGGCGUACGGGUGAGAGCAGGGGCUCUUCGGACCUUGCGCGAUUGCAUGAGCCGAUGUCGGAUUAGCUAGUUGGCGGGGUAAAGGCCCACCAAGGCGACGAUCCGUAGCUGGUCUGAGAGGAGGGUGAGCCACACUGGAACUGAGACACGGUCCAGGCUCCUACGGGAGGCAGCAGUGGGGAAUAUUGGACAAUGGGCGCAAGCAUGAUCCAGCCAUACCGCGUGGGUGAAGAAGGCCUUCGGGUUGUAAAGCCCUUUUGUUGGGAAAGAAAAGCAGCAGGUUAAUACCACGCGGGUCUGACGGUACCCAAAGAAUAAGCACCGGCUAACUUCGUG